GGAAGGGAGUGAAUAAGGGAGAGUAAGGAGAUGUAAGGUAUGAACAGGUAUAUGAGGAAGGGAGUGAAUAAGGGAGAGUAAGGAGAUGUAAGGUAUGAACAGGUAUAUGAGGAAGGAGUGA
Molecule: long non-coding RNA, 121 nt
Organism: Protopterus annectens (West African lungfish)
Lineage: Eukaryota; Metazoa; Chordata; Ceratodontiformes; Protopteridae
Exons: 3
Source: RefSeq, a predicted model, not a curated record